AUUUAAGUAGCUUAAUUAAAGUAAUGUAUUGAAGCUACAUUGAUAGUUUUUACUCUUAAAUA
RNAcentral lists this transfer RNA (62 nucleotides) under Onymocoris hackeri. RNAcentral describes it as "tRNA-Phe". The record is from RNAcentral. Lineage: Eukaryota; Metazoa; Arthropoda; Insecta; Hemiptera; Thaumastocoridae.